RNAcentral lists this long non-coding RNA (592 nucleotides) under Gallus gallus (chicken). RNAcentral describes it as "long non-coding RNA NONGGAT007805". The record is from RNAcentral. Lineage: Eukaryota; Metazoa; Chordata; Aves; Galliformes; Phasianidae.
UUAGAUGAAAGGUUGUCUUGAUGUAGUAUACAUUCUAUAGGACAUACCUUUUAGGCUGAAGCUCUUUUCAGUUCCCAUCAACUGGAAUGUUUCCUAACACGUAUGUGGAUCAAAAUAACUGAGGUAUUUUAGUGAACUGCUGGACUAUUACCAUCUUUGCACAUCUCUCCAGUACUUUUCUUUCAUGUAAUAUCCUACUAAAAUUAUUUACAUAUCCAAAAUUUUAAGAUUGCCACUUUUAUCGAAAUAUUAAACAUGUUUUUCAUAAGUAAAUAUUUUACUUUCUCAACUCUUGACUAACGUGGAUUCUGUCAUUCAGAUUUAGGGAUAUACUGAAUGUUAAGCAUGUGAAGACCAGUGCAAGGUUUUACUUGUGCCCAGGAUCGCAGGCCUUCAUACGGUCUGAUGUCAACAUGACUGAGGUUACUAAAAAAAAAAUCAUUUCAGAUGCUGAAUGGCCAGGUUAUCUACAUCUCCACGUAAUCUGGAUUGGAUAUGUCUGGAAUAGUGAAAGUAAGCUUGUUUUGUUAAAUUUAAGUUACUUUAAAUAUUUCUCCAGUGUUUAAAACAAAAAUGGCAACUUUGCUUUAAC